RNAcentral lists this ribosomal RNA (494 nucleotides) under uncultured bacterium. RNAcentral describes it as "partial 16S ribosomal RNA". It matches the Rfam family "Bacterial small subunit ribosomal RNA", at positions 28 to 507 of the family's 1533-position model. The record is from RNAcentral.
GACGAACGCUGGCGGCGUGCUUAACACAUGCAAGUCGAACGGUGAAGCGCCUUCCUUUUUGGUGGGUGUGGAUGAGUGGCGAACGGGUGAGUAACACGUGAGUAACCUGCCCCCUUCUUCUGGAUAACCGCAUGAAAGUGUGGCUAAUACGGGAUAUUCUGGGUCUGUCGCAUGAUGGGUCUGGGAAAGAUAUUGUUUCGGUGGGGGAUGGGCUCGCGGCCUAUCAGCUUGUUGGUGGGGUGAUGGCCUACCAAGGCGGUGACGGGUAGCCGGCCUGAGAGGGUGGACGGUCACACUGGGACUGAGACACGGCCCAGACUCCUACGGGAGCCAGCAGUGGGGACUAUUGCACAAUGGGCGCAAGCCUGUUGCAGCGACGCCGCGUGAGGGAUGGAGGCCUUCGGGUUGUGAACCUCUUUCGCCAGUGAAGCAGGCCUGCCUCGUUUGUGGGUGGGUUGACGGUAGCUGGAUAAGAAGCGCCGGCUAACUACGUG